Molecule: unclassified non-coding RNA, 263 nt
Filed under: plant metagenome
Description: partial contains small subunit ribosomal RNA, internal transcribed spacer 1, and 5.8S ribosomal RNA
Source: RNAcentral
UUUCCGUAGGUGAACCUGCGGAGGGAUCAUUAUUGUAUAACCGAGGUGCGAGGGCUGUCGCUGAUCCGGAAGGUCGUGCACGGCCGAUUGCCCUCACACACAUCCAUCUCACCCCUUUGUGCACCACCGCGUGGGUCCCCCUUUGGCUUGUUCGGAGGGGGGCUUACGUUUUCACACAAGCUUAGUAAGCAGUGUAGAAUGUGUUUUUUGUUUUUGCGUUCACGAAAUAAAUACAACUUUCAACAACGGAUCUCUUGGCUCUC